UGCCAGUCGCCGCGGUAAUACGUAGGGGGCUAGCGUUGUCCGGAUUUACUGGGUGUAAAGGGCGCGUAGGCGGAUCUGUAAGUCAGAGGUGAAAUCCUGCGGCUCAACCGUAGAACUGCCUUUGAAACUGCAGAUCUUGAGUUCGGAAGGGAGAGGCGGAAUUCCAGGUGUAGUGGUGAAAUACGUAGAUAUCUGGAAGAACACCAGAGGCGAAGGCGGUCUCUUGGUCCGUAACUGACGCUGAGGCGCGAAAGCGUGGGGAGCAAACAGGAUUAGAUA
Molecule: ribosomal RNA, 279 nt
Filed under: uncultured bacterium
Lineage: Bacteria
Description: partial 16S ribosomal RNA
Rfam family: Bacterial small subunit ribosomal RNA
Source: RNAcentral